UCCCACUUUUAAUCUCCCUCCUGCCCUGGAUUCAUUGACCAUUGCAUCUCCUCCCAGAGGCUGCCCAGGAGAAGGAAGGCCCCUGGUGGCCAUGGAGGACACGGAGAAUCCAACGAAUGAAUCCAGUGGCCUCGUAUUCGCCAACGCUCCAUUGAAACCACAGCUACGCUCCAGGCUGGACACUCCCUGUGGAGCAAGGCUAGAAGCUGAACUGUGCUCAGAUGAUAUCCCGGCAGUGAAAACACCAGAGUGCUAAAUGAAAAAUCUAUGCUCUCCCCACCAACUUCUUCAACUAGUGGGCCGCACAGGCUCCAGCAAGGAUUAAUUUGAACACUGUCAUUUCUUGGCAUCCCAAGCUGAAUUUUCCAGGACACAAAGGCAUGAGGUAUUCCAUCAUCUUGAUAAUUUUUAUAGCCGGUGGGGAGGUAGAAGGGAACAAAUAAUUGGAUGCACCAAGCUAUGGAACAAAUGAAACUAUGAAACGUUCACGAUCAAGUCCUGGAUCAAAGUGACUGGCUCGUAGAUAGGCAAGAAAUUUGGCCUUCUUCAAAAUAAGAAAUGAGGGUGGAGCCUCAAGCAGUGGGUCUAAAAGUGAGUCUUUCACAGGCUUGAGGAAGAAUACAGUGUUUCCCAUUAACCACUCAACACUCAAGAAGAAAUGUCACCUAAGAAACUGACUUUGGGUUACAAACUAGGGGCAAAUACUGGAAGGAAAUAAAUCAAAAUAUGCA
Molecule: long non-coding RNA, 731 nt
Organism: Equus quagga
Lineage: Eukaryota; Metazoa; Chordata; Mammalia; Perissodactyla; Equidae
Exons: 2
Source: RefSeq, a predicted model, not a curated record